GGCAGAGAGAGAGGGUGUGUGUGGGGCAGAGGGAGAGGGUGUGUGUGGGCAGAGAGAGAGGGUGUGUGUGUGUGUGGGGCAGAGAGAGAGGGUGUGUGUGUGUGGGGCAGAGGGAGAGGGUGUGUGUGUGUGGGGAGAGAGAGAGGGUGUGUGUGUGUGGGGGGCAGAGGGAGAGGGUGUGUGUGGGGCAGAGGGAGAGGUGGUGUGUGGCAGAGGGAGAGGGUGUGUGUGUGUGUGGGGCAGAGGGAGAGGGUGUGUGUGUGUG
Oncorhynchus tshawytscha (Chinook salmon) is the source of this 265-nucleotide long non-coding RNA. The record is from Ensembl. Lineage: Eukaryota; Metazoa; Chordata; Actinopteri; Salmoniformes; Salmonidae.